Acinonyx jubatus (cheetah) is the source of this 4077-nucleotide long non-coding RNA. RefSeq lists it as uncharacterized. The transcript has 2 exons. NCBI's taxonomy places the organism in Eukaryota, Metazoa, Chordata, Mammalia, Carnivora, Felidae. The record is from RefSeq and is a predicted model, not a curated record.
GGGAAGGGAGGGUGCUGACCAUGCUCAUGUAUGUAAGUGCCUAACAUACCAAGGUAGUCGGCAAUUACGGGCUGCCUCUUCCAGAAUCAAACCAUUCCCUCACUGCCGAGUCAGGCGGGCUGAGAGUCACCUGAGAGAUGAGGCCAUUCUACACCCCUACCCCCAACCCUAUAGCAGGUCUUUGGAAUCAAAUCUUCAAUAGCCGGCUAAACACACAAGGGGGCGCUUCCCUUUUCCCUCAACUAUGAGAGGUGAAUUCUGCCUCCACGCAUUCAGAUGAGGCGGCUCAGGUCUGUACUGGACCCCGCCUAAGACCUUUUAUGCAGUUUCACACAUGUUUAUUACACCCAGUUCUCAUCCUGGCUAACUCACUCCAGAACACGUUUUGAAUGUCCUGCCGCCUGUGGCGGGUUCUGCAGCGGGGUGGGAGGGUCAUUCCUGGGGAUGUUUGGUCCUUUUCUCUCUCUUGGGGUUGGGGGAGGGGGGGGGUGGUGGGAGACGAGUGGAAAAUAAUCUCUUUAAAUGGUGACAUUUGCUUAAUCACGUUGACAUUUUUAUGGUAUCGAAGCCCUGCUUACCGAAAUAGAACUCCAAUGAAAAGGAUAAAGAAAGCUCGGGCUUAGAUUUGGACACCGCUGUUCAUUUUUAACUUCUUGAGACACACGGCUCUUUUCCAACUCUGGUCGCCGCACUGAAUCACAAAAGGAUUACCUUACUGUUUCGAAGAUCCCGAUUUGGGAAAUAAAUAUGGAGUUCCUUGUUUAUUAUUCUGCCAUUACAUACUUCAGAAAAGAAUUACUCUUUUGUAUCAUUGACAUCUCCACAGUUCCUUAAUUUCUAAAAUCAGGAAUUUACUUUCCCCAUGACUUUUGAUCAGACUUUAAGGUAUUUAUCCAACUUUAAGAAAGAAAUCCAUAAAAAAAUCAUUUUCCUUUUGAACUGGGUGUGGAUACAAAGCCAUUACCAAAAGAGGUUAUGAAACAACUUGAUUGUUAAGGAUGGUGAAGAAUGGGGUAGAGAACUUUCCUUUUUGGGUGAAUUUGGGUGAACUACCAGUGAAUAAGAAAAUGCAGCCCAAAUAGCCUCUCACACGCUACAGAUUCACCGUUCUGUGAUUUAAAACACCCACGUGUUGCGCCUACAUAUUAUUUUCAGAUUUAAUUGUUAUAUCACUUACAGUUGAUGUGCACUUGCCUAACAUAAAUAUUUAAAACAAAAACAAAAACAAAAAUAAAACAAAAACCAAAAACAAACCCCGGAAUCUACUUACGUCUUUUUUUUUUUUUUUGCCCCUACUUUAAGUGCCUAAACCAACCCAGAACGCCCUAGGAUGUUGUCGAAGUGGCGACCAAACGCCACCCACAUCUCCAACGUCCCCUGAGGCUUCCUCAGGGGCCCUUCACUGAACUGGGAACAUAAGUUUUCCCGCUAUUGUCAGCCAAAGCUUGAGUGAGCCGGUAUUCCCGGGGGAUAUCUAAGCGCUGCUCAGCCCUUCAGGCUAAGGCCCCUCAGGCUCCCCUACAGCUGGAAGAGCUACAGGUUGGAAAGACAAGUUAGAUGCAAAAGACCUCUACAGUCCAUUUGUCUCAGGACGAGAACGGCUUCUUCUCGUCUUAAGACUACUAUCCUCGAGGUGAGAAAGAGCAGAAAUUAAAUUUGACAAAACAGAACACUCUCCGUGUUACGCUUCAUGCCAUAAUAAGUCCUGAAGUUAAAAGUUUGAAGAUGUGGUGUAAAAUGUAAACACGAAUGCACUGUGGUGCUCGGUAGUCCACGUGAUUAACGAAUCGAGUCAGAGAUCCUACUGUGAAUUCACAUGCUACAGAGAUUAUUAUCCCAGAGGCCAUAUCCUGUGACAUUAGGAUCCAGGGAAAAACUAGGGGUUUGAAAGUCCAGACUUAUUAACCAAGAUCCUCUUGUAGGGUGGCCAAAAAUCAAGGCUCUUCAUUAGCAAAGACCACAAAUCAAACCCCCCACAUAUUGACCUUUCCUUACUUUUAUUGGACAUUGGCCUUCAGCAGGUGACCGAAUGCUCGAAUCCCUGCCGAGGCCUCCCAUACACACGGGAGGCUAUUUUAAAAAAAAAAGAAAGAAAGAAAAGAAAAGAAAAGGAAAGGGAAAAAAAAGGACUCUGCAGGGCAACGUGUGAACUAAUAGUACAGAUCUAAGACAACAACUCACAGAUAUUUACAAACUUACACAAGCAAUGCAUACUUGCGACUGGUCCCUAUAUGGCUGGACAUCUUUUCGUAUCAGUAUGUUCUGCCUUGGCCCGAGAUAUACACCUAAUAUUUUUUAAAGGUUUCAUUCCUGAUCAUGGAAGCAUAACCUACUCAUGUUGCAAAUAAAUAAGUAUAUUAAAAAGAAAGGCUGAGUUAAAAGUUUUAUUCAUUCAACAUCUCACAUUACAAAUAUUUAAAAAUUAUAUGCAUACUGGUAUAAAUAGUCAUUUGCAAACUAUUUAAUAACAUUAAUUUUCCACUAGCACUUCAACAAAUGAACUCUUUUAAAAAAGGAACUGUGUUAUAUAACUUAAGAGUAGAACAUACAAAAAUAGGAACUUAACGUGAAAAUGACUUUAAUAAAAAAUGAAUUACCCUUAUUUAAAAUGCUAUAAUAAAUACUACAACCUCCCCAUACACAGUAAAAACUAUAUGGAAAUUCAGCCAAGUAGUACAAUUAACUGACAUACUUAAAUAACUUUUCCUUCUGAUAAUAUGAGCAAUACACUGGAAAAAAAAAAAAAAACAUUAGGGAUUAGUAAAAACUAGACACCCACUUGCUAAAAGUUUCACUUCCAAAAAAUAUAACAAAAAUCUGAUGAAAAUUAUAAAAACUAAUUAUACUUUAAAUUUUAAAAAUAUAAAAAAUAAAACAGUUGAAUACAAUAUUGUCCCAAUUCUUACAAUGCUAUCAAUCACAGUAGCUUUAAAAUAAGAUAAUAAAAUAAAGCAAAUGACCAAAACCUCUUUUAUUCCAUUUUUAAAAAUAAUCUCAAAUUUACAUUAGUAGAAAGAUUGAUUUCUGAUUCUUUUCUUUAGAAACACCAGCAAGAAAGAGGAUUACUCUUAACAGUAGAAAAUGACAUUUUUAAAUGUCUGCAAUUAAAAACAAAGAAUUACACUGCAAAGAUCUUUCAAAAGUUUGAAAUAAGUAUUGCACAUAACUUGAAGUUAACUUGCCACAAUUCAUCACAUUCAAGUUUUAAAUCACCUUUUAACAGAAGAUUCAACUCUUCAAAACAAAAGGGGUGAAUUAUCAAGUCUUUCCAACAGCACUCUCAUAAAAUGCUAAAUUCGUUCACUGCAAGUUUUAUUUUGCAUUCUGCAGAGGUCUGUGUAUGGAGAAGUAUAUAUAUUAUACCAAAGCGUGGGGACCAGAAGGGGAAGGGAGAGAGGGUUCCUUUACAUAGAAAAUAAUCAGAAACACUUUAUUUUACAUUGCAAAAAUAACCAUGUAAUUACUCUGUAACUACAUUGUAAGUACAUGGCUGGUGCCAUGCUAGUGUGCUAGAACUACAUGCUUGGUAAAUUGAAGUGAUACCCUAAAAUCUGUAAACUAAUUCCAUGUUAAUUAUGUUUUGAGUUACAUGGUAACUCCCAACUACAAUCCCGUGUAAUCUGAAGGACAUGUAAUCAAUAACGUUCAGAGUAAUAGAUAAUAAUUGUUUAUGCCCUGUAAAUUGAAGUGUAACCAAAUAAUCUGUAAACACGCUUGUCACACAAUCACAAGUAAAUAUUAGUAGAAUAACAAUUUCUUACAUUAGUCAUGCAUACUAACAUUACACACCUGUCCCACGGCAGGCUAUUUUUUUUUUCUUUAUAUAUAAUUAAAAGAGCAGACAUCUCUGAAUCAAACACUUAACAUCAAUUUAUUAAUAUUAAAAAUGGCUAAACAUUCACCAAGAAUGUCUGCGUUGUGAAUAAUUUUAAAAACUUAGUAAGAAGCUGUAGACAAUUUUGUUAUUUUAAAUUUCUACCCUAUGCUUAUGCGUUUAAUUUUUUGUCUUUUUAGGAACUACCGUGUUAUCUGUCAUUUUCAUGCGAAUUUUUUUUCAUUAAUUUGUGACUUUACAUA